ACUCAAAUGAAUUGACGGGGACCCACACAAGCGGUGGAGCAUGUGGUUUAAUUCGACACCAAACGAAGGACCUCACCCAGGCUUGACAUGUCUGGAACCCCCCGGAAACGGGGGGGUGCCCGCAAGGGAAUCAGAACACAGGUGCUGCAUGGUCGUCGUCAGCUCGUGUCGUGAGAUGUUGGGUUAAGUCCCGCAACGAGCGCAACCCUCGUCGAUAGUUGCAUUUCUCUAUCGAGACUGCCCAGGAGAACUGGGAGGAAGGUGGGGAUGACGUCAGAUCAGCAUGGCCCUUAUGCCUGGGGCCACACACGUGCUACAAUGGCAAGGACAAUGGGCUGCGAACCUGCAAAGGGGAGCAAAUCCCUCAAAACUUGCCUCAGUUCGGAUUGAGGGCUGCAACUCGCCCUCAUGAAGUUGGAAUCGCUAGUAACCGCCGGUCAGCCAUACGGCGGUGAAUAUGUUCCUGGGUCUUGUACACACCGCCCGU
Molecule: ribosomal RNA, 487 nt
Filed under: uncultured bacterium
Lineage: Bacteria
Description: partial 16S ribosomal RNA
Rfam family: Bacterial small subunit ribosomal RNA
Source: RNAcentral